This 6965-nucleotide long non-coding RNA is filed under the name Arabidopsis lyrata. RNAcentral describes it as "long non-coding RNA (ALYR_LNC000331)". Lineage: Eukaryota; Viridiplantae; Streptophyta; Magnoliopsida; Brassicales; Brassicaceae. The record is from RNAcentral.
UGUUUUUGGCAACUGGAAUCUUCAUCCUUCAAUCCUAAUUGUUUUUGUGAUUCUCUUGUCGAUUUGAGACUUUUGCUGAGUUUUCAAGCCCCUUUUUGCCUCAAAUCCGAUUUGCAUAUUUUUGAUAAUUGAGAAUCAGAGUUCGUGGUGAUUUAGUUCGUGGUGCUUAUGGCCUCUGCUGCUGGUGAUUUAGUUCUGGAUUGUUUUCAACUUUGGUAAACUUCAUCUUCUUCCUGCUUCAAUUUUCUUCCAUGGAAGUGAGCUUUAAGCUCUUUAAUGGUGGAUUUCGUUUUAGGAAGAAUUAGAACUCGAGCUAUACCUGUUGGGGUCGGAUUUCACCCAUCCUUUGAGACCGACCAAACUUCAACACCUCGGGUUAUCCUGCUAGUCAGCUCGGGUACCCUGCCAGUCAGCUCGGGUACCCUGCCAGUCAAUCUGCCAGUCAGCUCGGGUACCCUGCCAGUCAAUCUACCAGUCAGCUCGGGUACCCUUCCAGUCAGUCUGCCAGUCAGCUCGGGUACCCUUCCAGUCAGUCUGCCAGUCAGCUCGGGUAUCCUGCCAGUCAGUCUGCCAGUCAGCUCGGGUAUCCUGCCAGUCAGUCUGCCAGUCAGCUCGGGUACCCUGCCAGUCAGUCUGCAAGUCAGCUCGGGUACCCUGCCAGUCAGUCUGCCAGUCAGCUCGGGUACCCUGCCAGUCAGUCUGCCAGUCAGCUCGGGUACCCUGCCAGUCAGUCUGCCAGUCAGCUCGGGUACCCUGCCAGUCAGUCUGCCAGUCAGCUCGGGUACCCUGCCAGUCAGUCUGCCAGUCAGCUCGGGUACCCUGCCAGUCAGUCUGCCAGUCAGCUCGGGUACCUUGCCAGUCAGUCUGCCAGUCAGCUCGGGGUACACAGUCAGCUCGGGGUACACUGCCGAGCCUUAUACUGCAGUUACCCCGAGGCAAAGUCUCAGUGCUACCCGAGGCUCAGUGCUACCCAAGGCAAAGUCUCAGUGCUACCCGAGGUGAAAUGUGUAUUGUUCCCGAGGCGAAGUUUGCAAAGUCACCCGAGGCGAAGUCUUUAGUGUCACCCGAGGCAAAGUCUUCAGAGUGACCCGAGGCAAAGUCUGCAAAGUUACCCGAGGCGAAGUCUUCAUCAUCACCCGAGGCAAAGACUUGAUAAAUAUUCAUCAUCAAAGUAUCAUUUCCAAACAAGGCAUCAUUUCCGAAGGGUCAUUUCCGAUAAACCCGGAAAUGAUAAAGGAGAAUCACGAAGGAUCAACUUAAAUCAGGAAAUCUUCCAAAAACUCCGAAGAAUAAGGAAAUUAUCCUGAUCCGCGAUAUUCUACACCGACUUCAAGAUAAAUGGAAAUCUUCCGAGAAUAUCGCUGGAGAGGCGGUUUAUCACCCCUAUAUAAAGAGACUCAAGGCUCUCACAGAGGAAGAAGCAAUAUCGCUCUAGAAUUUACACUGCGCAAAGCUCUCACAGCACAAACACCUUUUUCUAUUACGAUCAAACUCUUGUACGAUCAAAAUCAUCUUUUCAUUAAUAAUAUCAAGAACACCAUCUUUGGUAUCAAUCGUUUUUGUUGUUCUUUGAGAAUUCACGAUUAUCGUAUCCCUAAAAUAAAACCCUAGACAAAUCUUGAUUGUGUUAGUUUCGACUUCCACAGUUUGGCGCCGUCUGUGGGGAUACUUUAGAAUUCUCUUACCCUAAGACGCAGAACUCGAUUACCGAAAAGGACGAUGAACGAAGACGGUCCUCAGACACCACCAGCCGGAGGAGGGAACCCUAAUCCUCCGAACCCUCAGAAUCCUCAAGCCGAUCCGACGAUCAUAGCGAGUCUAGCCGAACUGAAAGAUCUAAUGGUUAAAUUCCAGAAGAAAGCUGACGACCAAGAGAAAGCUAACAAAACCUUGGCGCAGCGAGUCGACGAAAUCGCAACACGUGGGCAACAAAAAACCACGGGUUUCCAGACUUGGCCGCCACGAGCUCGGAGGGACUUGCCUGGCAUCAACCCAACAAGACUCACGUUCGCGACGCCAACCGACAACACCAGAGUCGCAACCCGAGCCGACCCUGCCAGACGCGAGAACCAAGAUGAUCCAACCGAGCCAGACGCAGUGGACUUGACGGACGAGCCAGAUGAUCUGCAAGAUGAGCGUACCCGAGCCGGAGCUAACUCCGCCGAGCGAACAGAUCUCACUGACGAUGAAGAAACUGAGGAGAACAUAAGAUGGGCCGAAGAAUCCGAAAGGGAGGACGAGCUCAGCAAGAUCCGAGCCUCCCUAGCCAAGGCGGAAGCUGAUAUGAAGCUCGUUUAAACCCAGAUACAUAGCGUUUCAUCCUCUGCACCAAACAUCGACCGAAUUUUAGAAGAAUCUCGGAAUACGCCCUUCACCAAAAGAAUUUCCGAAACGACGAUGUCCAAUCUGGGGAAGUUCAAAAUCGACUCCUACAACGGAUCAACCGACCCGAAGUGUCACAUUAAAUCUUUCGUGAUAUCCGUAGCCCGAGCCAGGUUCAAGCCCGGGGAGAAGGAUGCUGGUCUAUGCUUACUAUUCGUGGAACACCUCAAGGGACCCGCAUUAGAGUGGUUUUCAAGAUUGGAACGAAACUCGAUUGACAGUUUCGACGAGCUGUCGACACUUUUCCUCAAGCAAUACUCCGUGCUCAUCGACCCCGGAACCUCCGAUGCAGAUCUGUGGUCUCUGUCUCAACAACCCACCGAGCCGUUAAGAGAUUUCCUCACAACUUUCAAAUCGACACUAGCCAAGGUCGAAGGAAUCACAGAUGUAGCCGCCCUCUCUGGUACAAGUCAGAAUUCAGAAAAGAGCUGAACCUAUCCAAACCUACUACAAUUCGCGACGCGCUGCACCGAGCCUCAGAUUUCGUCGCCUACGAAGAAGAACUGGAGCUACUAGCGAAGAGACACGAGCCGACAAAGCAAGCAUCCCGAACCGAGAAAGCCCAAACAGGACCGCAGAGCCAGAAGAAGCCGGAUCAGAGUGAAACAUACACGCACCACGAGGGGCACGUUUUCUCAGGAGCCCACAACUAUCAAGUCGACGUAGGCCGUGGGCAAGGAAGAGAUUCAUUCACUUGGACAAGAUGUCAACCCCUAGGUGACGAAAAAGAAUACUGCGAGCAUCACAAGACCAUCGGGCAUCACACUUCCAGAUGCAGGAGCCUCGGAGCAAUAUUAGCGGCCAAAUUUCUAGCCGGAGAGCUUGGGACGAACAUAACCCUCAAAGACCUACAGCCAGAACAAGUUUAGCCCAAACAGGUGGACACAGCAAGGGGUCCCGAGCCAAGGGAGCCAGAGGCUCCGAAGAGAAUCCGGGGAACACCCGACGAGGAGCGUGACGGAACACGACAAAGAAUCCACACGAUAAUGGGAGGAUCAGCGUUUUGCCCCGACACCGUAGCCGCGAUCAAAGCCUAUCAGAGACGAGCCGAAGCACCAAGCAACUGGUUAAGGCCAUUCGACCAACCUAACGAUGUAAUCAUGUUCAAAGAAAGUGAGACAAAUGGGCUCGACAUGCCUCAUAACGACCCUCUGGUCAUCACGCUUGCCAUCGGAGAUAACGACGUAUCAAGGGUGUUGAUCGACACCGGCAGCACUAUUGACGUAAUUUUCCGCGAGACGCUUCGGCAAAUGAACAUCAGCAUGUCGCAAGUAAACCAGACUCCGAGGCCAGUACUUGGAUUCUCUGGAGAAACCCUAAUGACACUCGGAACUAUUCAGAUACCAGUCCAGGCCAGUGGAAUAACAAAGAUAGUUGAUUUCUCUGUCACAGAUCAGCCGACCAUCUACAACGCCAUUAUGGGCACCCCAUGGUUAAACCUAAUGCGAGCUGUCUCCUCGACAUACCAUCUCUGCUUGAAAUUCCCGACGCCUAACGGUGUGAAAACGAUAUGGGGAAGCCAAAAGAAUUCCAGGAUGUGUUUCAUGGCAGCACAUAAACUUCGAAACAUCGUCGCCGAAUCUAAAGUCGAGGUCAAUCAUAAAAAGGCGAAGAUUGGCCGAAGCAAGGAGAAGUACCUUGCAGAAAAGAAGGCGGCCGUAGAGAAGAAAGCUCUGGAGGCCGUUCUCGGAACUCAUGCUCCUCCCAAAGCGACCGAUGAGCCUAAGGUGGAGAUGACGAAUCCUAACCCCAUUGCCGUCACAACUGGUCCCGAGGAGGCCGAGACUAUCCCAGUUGUGGAAACACCUCAGGAAAUACUACCGCUAAAAACCUAAGGUACGUAUAAGCUUGAACUACAGGGUGGCUUGAUCCCCGAAAAGGGUACGUAGGCAGCUCGUCCUCGGACGAGUUCAGCUACCUCCCCUUAUCAAAAAGGGGGGGGGAGAGUGGGGUCCGUAUAUCCAUACUCCCACUCAAACUUUAUCAAUUAUACGUUUCCUAUACUCCUAUUCAAAUUUUAUCAAACUAUAUUUCUAAGUAUACACUUCGAGUUUUUAUCCGAUCAAAUCGACCUCGGUCUUUACCCCGAAACUCGCCUCGGGAAAUCAACACGGUCUAAACUCCGUUCGGUUCGUUUGGGCGAUGGCCACGCCCGCGAACUAAAUUCAUCUACACCUCCACGGUUACAGCGCGCUAUAUAAGCAUUCGAGACAAUCUGGUCGAAGAUAUCCGACCAAAGAUGAAAUUGUCUUCAGAAACCCCAGUAAAAUCUUAACACUGGUGCCCCAGUUCGCUUCUAAGCACUGGUUAUCGAUUGAAUCGAAUCGGGUCGCGACCGUGAACGUUCAAAUCUUUCUGCUAAAACCCAGUUUAUCUUAACACUGGUACCCAUCUUUCGCUCCGGCUGCUAAAACCCAGUUUAUCUUAAGACUGGUACCUAUCUUUCGCUCCGGCUACUAAAACCCAGUUUAUCUUAACACUGGUAUCUAUCUUUCGCUCCGGCUACAUAAAUUUUUUUUUUACUUAGGACAAAAAGAUGUUUUGAUACGGAAACUAUUCAAAAUCAUUGUAUUCUCUUCGAAGACAAGGAUCUUUGAAAAUAGCGUUUGUAUUUACUUUGCAAAAAUACAACGACAAAGUCAUCCAUGCACAAUCUUACACUACAACCAAAAAAGAAGAAAAAGGACGGUUCUAAGAGUGCCGCCUCAGGUUCACUGGCGACUCGAUGCAGAAAUUAACAGCUCGGUCAAAUCAUUCAUGAAGCUCGUCACACUUGCUCCCAAGUCAACGAGCUGGGGGGCUAACUGUUGGGGUCGGAUUUCACCCAUCCUUUGAGACCGAGCCAAACUUCAACACCUCGGGUUAUCCUGCUAGUCAGCUCAGGUACCCUGCCAGUCAAUCUGCCAGUCAGCUCGGGUACCCUGCCAGUCAAUCUGCCAGUCAGCUCGGGUACCCUGCCAGUCAAUCUACCAGUCAGCUCGGGUACCCUUCCAGUCAGUCUGCCAGUCAGCUCGGGUAUCCUGCCAGUCAGUCUGCCAGUCAGCUCGGGUAUCCUGCCAGUCAGUCUGCCAGUCAGCUCAGGUACCCUGCCAGUCAGUCUGCCAGUCAGCUCGGGUACCCUGCCAGUCAGUCUGCCAGUCAGCUCGGGUACCCUGCCAGUCAGCUCGGGUACCCUGCCAGUCAGUCUGCCAGUCAGCUCGGGUACCCUGCCAGUCAGUCUGCCAGUCAGCUCGGGUACCCUGCCAGUCAGUCUGCCAGUCAGCUCGGGUAUCCUGCCAGUCAGUCUGCCAGUCAGCUCGGGUACCUUGCCAGUCAGUCUGCCAGUCAGCUCGGGGUACACAGUCAGCUCGGGGUACACUGCCGAGCCUUAUACUGCAGUUACCCCGAGGCAAAGUCUCAGUGCUACCCGAGGCUCAGUGCUACCCGAGGCAAAGUCUCAGUGCUACCCGAGGUGAAAUGUGUAUUGUUCCCGAGGCGAAGUUUGCAAAGUCACCCGAGGCGAAGUCUUUAGUGUCACCCGAGGCAAAGUCUUCAGAGUGACCCGAGGCGAAGUCUGCAAAGUUACCCGAGGCGAAGUCUUCAUCAUCACCCGAGGCAAAGACUUGAUAAAUAUUCAUCUUCAAAGUAUCAUUUCCAAACAAGGCAUCAUUUCUGAAGGGUCAUUUCCGAUAAACCCGAAAAUGAUAAAGGAGAAUCACGAAGGAUCAACUUAAAUCAGGAAAUCUUCCAAAAACUCCGAAGAAUAAGGAAAUUAUCCUGAUCCGCGAUAUUCUACACCGACUUCAAGAUAAAUGGAAAUCUUCCGAGAAUAUCGCUGGAGAGGCGGUUUAUCACCCCUAUAUAAAGAGACUCAAGGCUCUCACAGAGGAAGAAGCAAUAUCGCUCUAGAAUUUACACUACGCAAAGCUCUCACAGCACAAACACCUUUUUCUUUUACGAUCAAACUCUUGUACGAUCAAAAUCAUCUUUUCAUUAAUAAUAUCAAGAACACCAUCUUUGGUAUCAAUCGUUUUUGUUGUUCUUUGAGAAUUCACGAUUAUCGUAUCCCUAAAAUAAAACCCUAGACAAAUCUCGAUUGUGUUAGUUUCGACUUCCACAAUACCUUGUUAGAAAGCUCUCGUUCAUACGGAUCCAACGCCACUAAGAUCUCAUCAAACGGAAGUCGGAAUUGAUCGGAAUUUGAUUGGUAAAUAUUUCAAUUUUGUUGAUUUAUAGUCGAAUCGGGAUUUAUUUGAUUGGUAAAAACCAAUUUGAAACCGGUUUUGGGAUGACCUGUAUAUGUAGAAUACUUCUUGAAAUCUAAUUUUGAAUUGGUUGAGUUAUGAAUUUUAACCGAUCGUAAUUAUGACCGGUACGGCUGCUUUUAUACCGGUUUUGGAAAAGCUGAUACGUGAUUAUGAUUUACCUUGAAAUUAUCUUUCCUAUGGUUUAUUGUACGGAUUUUUCUGAUAGAAGGUUGAAUUUAGGUGAAUUAAUUGGUGUUUUGGACGUGUCUAGAAUAUUUAGUUUAGUACGAAAAUUUGUCCAGGUGAGUUCUAACUCCCUCAUUAGUUAUUAUACAUUUGUAUAAUAUUUAGGAAUAU